UUCCUAGUAAUAAUCUGAACUUUUACAGCUCAAUCAGAGCAAAUGUCAAUUUGCGGAACACCUGAAUUGUCUCCGAUUCAGCUUUAAAGAGUGUUUUUUUUAGCAGGGAGAGCUGGGGUGGGGGCGCACACUUGGACAUGGAGUGUUAAAGCACAGACCUCUACCUGGAAAAAGUUGGGCAAAAGUGGCCAAGCAGGUGCCUCCUGGAAGCCCACAAACUUGACAUGAGAACAGCAGCCCUGGCCUGGUGAUGUCCCCCCAGUGGCAGAGUACAGAUUCGAAACUUAACAACUUCCCAGGGUAGCCAACAUGCACCGCAUGGAGGCUUGUUCCACGCCAGAGAGUUUAACACCAGAUACAGUACAUUCUCCCACCCUUAUCCCAAGAAGAGGAAACCACCAACAAAAGCUGAGAUAACAGAGGGAAAU
This is a long non-coding RNA of Zootoca vivipara (common lizard), 428 nucleotides long. RefSeq lists it as uncharacterized. Lineage: Eukaryota; Metazoa; Chordata; Lepidosauria; Squamata; Lacertidae. The record is from RefSeq and is a predicted model, not a curated record.